AGCGCGGGAGCAAUCCUGGCGGCGAGUGGCGAACGGGUGAGUAAUACAUCGGAACGUGUCCUGUAGUGGGGGAUAGCCCGGCGAAAGCCGGAUUAAUACCGCAUACGCUCUACGGAGGAAAGGGGGGGAUCUUAGGACCUCUCGCUACAGGGGCGGCCGAUGGCGGAUUAGCUAGUUGGUGGGGUAAAGGCCUACCAAGGCGACGAUCCGUAGCUGGUCUGAGAGGACGACCAGCCACACUGGGACUGAGACACGGCCCAGACUCCUACGGGAGGCAGCAGUGGGGAAUUUUGGACAAUGGGGGCAACCCUGAUCCAGCAAUGCCGCGUGUGUGAAGAAGGCCUUCGGGUUGUAAAGCACUUUUGUCCGGAAAGAAAUCAUCCUGGUUAAUACCUGGGGUGGAUGACGGUACCGGAAGAAUAAGCACCGGCUAACUACGUGCCAGCAGCCGCGGUAAUACGUAGGGUGCAAGCGUUAAUCGGAAUUACUGGGCGUAAAGCGUGCGCAGGCGGUUCGCUAAGACAGAUGUGAAAUCCCCGGGCUUAACCUGGGAACUGCAUUUGUGACUGGCGGGCUAGAGUAUGGCAGAGGGGGGUAGAAUUCCACGUGUAGCAGUGAAAUGCGU
Molecule: ribosomal RNA, 625 nt
Filed under: Paraburkholderia sp.
Lineage: Bacteria; Pseudomonadati; Pseudomonadota; Betaproteobacteria; Burkholderiales; Burkholderiaceae
Description: bacterial SSU rRNA
Rfam family: Bacterial small subunit ribosomal RNA
Source: RNAcentral